AGAGUUUGAUCCUGGCUCAGGAUAAACGCUGGCGGCGUGCCUAAUACAUGCAAGUCGAACGAGGAGUCCUUGUAGCAAUACGUCCUUAGUGGCGAACGGGUGAGUAACGCGUUGGUGACCUGCCCCGAAGCGGGGGAUAACAGUCCGAAAGGACUGCUAAUACCCCAUGUGGUCUCAGGGAUUAGAUGCCCUGAGUCUAAAGGAGUAAUCCACUUUGGGAGGGACCUGCGUCCCAUCAGCUAGUUGGUGGGGUAACGGCCUACCAAGGCUGCGACGGGUAGGGGGCCUGAGAGGGUGGCCCCCCACAUUGGCACUGACACACGGGCCAAACACCUACGGGUGGCAGCAGUAGGGAAUAUUGCACAAUGGGCGAAAGCCUGAUGCAGCAACGCCGCGUGUGCGAUGAAGGCCUUCGGGUCGUAAAGCACUUUUUGAGAAGAUGAUACAAGACAGUACUCUCAGAAUAAGUCUCGGCUAACUACGUGCCAGCAGCAGCGGUAACACGUAGGAGACAAGCGUUAUCCGGAUUUACUGGGUGUAAAGCGCGUGCAGGCGGUCUGGUAAGUUGGAUGUGAAAGCUCCUGGCUUAACUGGGAGAGGUCGUUCAAAACUGCCGGACUUGAGAGCAGUAGAGGGAGGUGGAAUUCCCGGUGUAGUGGUGAAAUGCGUAGAUAUCGGGAGGAACACCAGUGGCGAAAGCGACCUCCUGGACCGUACCUGACGCUCAGACGCGAAAGCUAGGGUAGCAAACGGGAUUAGAGACCCCGGUAGUCCUAGCCGUAAACGAUGUGAACUUGGCGUUGGUGGGUUAAUAUCCGCCAGUGCCGUAGCUAACGCGAUAAGUCAACCGCCUGGGGACUACGAUCGCAAGAUUAAAACUCAAAGGAAUUGACGGGGGCCCGCACAAGCAGCGGAGCGUGUGGUUUAAUUCGAUGUUACACGAAGAACCUUACCCAGGUUUGACAUAACGACGAACGAUUGC
This 982-nucleotide ribosomal RNA is filed under the name alkali sediment metagenome. RNAcentral describes it as "bacterial SSU rRNA". It matches the Rfam family "Bacterial small subunit ribosomal RNA", at positions 8 to 1002 of the family's 1533-position model. The record is from RNAcentral.